UUUUAAGAUAGAGGUGCAGUGUUCAAAAGUAUCUACUGGAAUCCGGGCAGGAUAAUGAAGGUAAGAGAAAGGGAAGGCUGCCGAAGGAAAGACUAUAGCCCAUUGUCAAUCCUGGUGUUACCGAUAAUAUUGAUAACACUGUCAUUAAGUUUUCACCUGAUGAAGUGCUAUCGGAAUU
RNAcentral lists this non-coding RNA (178 nucleotides) under Ilyobacter polytropus. RNAcentral describes it as "Lysine sequence". It matches the Rfam family "Lysine riboswitch aptamer". From Rfam's summary of the family: Riboswitches are metabolite binding domains within certain messenger RNAs that serve as precision sensors for their corresponding targets. Allosteric rearrangement of mRNA structure is mediated by ligand binding, and this results in modulation of gene expression. Lineage: Bacteria; Fusobacteriati; Fusobacteriota; Fusobacteriia; Fusobacteriales; Fusobacteriaceae. RNAcentral also lists the same sequence under 1 other name. The record is from RNAcentral.